AGUAGGGAUCUUCCGCAAUGGGCGAAAGCCUGACGGAGCAACGCCGCGUGAGUGAUGAAGGUCUUCGGAUCGUAAAACUCUGUUAUUAGGGAAGAACAAAUGUGUAAGUAACUAUGCACGUCUUGACGGUACCUAAUCAGAAAGCCACGGCUAACUACGUGCCAGCAGCCGCGGUAAUACGUAGGUGGCAAGCGUUAUCCGGAAUUAUUGGGCGUAAAGCGCGCGUAGGCGGUUUUUUAAGUCUGAUGUGAAAGCCCACGGCUCAACCGUGGAGGGUCAUUGGAAACUGGAAAACUUGAGUGCAGAAGAGGAAAGUGGAAUUCCAUGUGUAGCGGUGAAAUGCGCAGAGAUAUGGAGGAACACCAGUGGCGAAGGCGACUUUCUGGUCUGUAACUGACGCUGAUGUGCGAAAGCGUGGGGAUCAAACAGGAUUAGAUACCCUGGUAGUCCACGCCGUAAACGAUGAGUGCUAAGUGUUAGGGGGUUUCCGCCCCUUAGUGCUGCAGCUAACGCAUUAAGCACUCCGCCUGGGGAGUACGACCGCAAGGUUGAAACUCAAAGGAAUUGACGGGCCC
This 575-nucleotide ribosomal RNA is filed under the name Staphylococcus sp. Its description in RNAcentral is "bacterial SSU rRNA". It matches the Rfam family "Bacterial small subunit ribosomal RNA", at positions 353 to 920 of the family's 1533-position model. The record is from RNAcentral. Lineage: Bacteria; Bacillati; Bacillota; Bacilli; Caryophanales; Staphylococcaceae.